This is a small nucleolar RNA of Otolemur garnettii (small-eared galago), 103 nucleotides long. The record is from Ensembl. NCBI's taxonomy places the organism in Eukaryota, Metazoa, Chordata, Mammalia, Primates, Galagidae.
AUCCUUUUGCAGUUCAUAAGCCUGAUGAUUGGGCUUUCCCACUCAAGUAUGAGAUGUGCCUCCCUCAAAUCUUGUUAUAGUGUCAAUACAUACCUGCCUUUCA